AUUGAACGCUGGCGGCAGGCCUAACACAUGCAAGUCGAGCGGAGAGUCGAACGGGGGUGUAACACGUGGGUGAACUGGCUCGAACUUCGGGAAAAGCUUGGGAAAAUGGGUCGAAUAUCGGAUAGUGCAAGGUGAGCUCGCGGACUAUCAGCUUGUUGGUGGGGUAUUGGCCUACCAAGGCGCCGACGGGUAGCCGGCCUGCGAGGGUGGACGGCCACAUGGGGACUCAGGUACGGCCCAGACGCAUACUGGAGGCAGCAGUGGGGAAUAUUGCGCAAUGGGCGGAAGCCUGAUGCAGCGACGCCGCGUGGGGGAUGAAGGCCUUCGGGUUGUAAACUCCUUUCGACAGGGACGCGGUACCUGUAUAAGAAGCACCGGCUAACUACGUGCCAGCAGCCGCGGUAAUAC
RNAcentral lists this ribosomal RNA (408 nucleotides) under uncultured bacterium. RNAcentral describes it as "partial 16S ribosomal RNA". It matches the Rfam family "Bacterial small subunit ribosomal RNA", at positions 28 to 526 of the family's 1533-position model. The record is from RNAcentral.